GUAGGGAAUAUUGGACAAUGGGGGGAACCCUGAUCCAGCCAUGCCGCGUGUGUGAAGAAGGCCUUUUGGUUGUAAAGCACUUUAAGCGAGGAGGAGGCUACCGAGAUUAAUACUCUUGGAUAGUGGACGUUACUCGCAGAAUAAGCACCGGCUAACUCUGUGCCAGCAGCCGCGGUAAUACAGAGGGUGCAAGCGUUAAUCGGAUUUACUGGGCGUAAAGCGCGCGUAGGUGGCCAAUUAAGUCAAAUGUGAAAUCCCCGAGCUUAACUUGGGAAUUGCAUUCGAUACUGGUUGGCUAGAGUAUGGGAGAGGAUGGUAGAAUUCCAGGUGUAGCGGUGAAAUGCGUAGAGAUCUGGAGGAAUACCGAUGGCGAAGGCAGCCAUCUGGCCUAAUACUGACACUGAGGUGCGAAAGCAUGGGGAGCAAACAGGAUUAGAUACCCCUGUAGUCC
RNAcentral lists this ribosomal RNA (451 nucleotides) under uncultured bacterium. Its description in RNAcentral is "partial 16S ribosomal RNA". It matches the Rfam family "Bacterial small subunit ribosomal RNA", at positions 354 to 796 of the family's 1533-position model. The record is from RNAcentral.